CCCCCCCCCCCCCCCCCCCCCCCCCCCCCCCCCCCCCCCCCCCCCCCCCCCCCCCCCCCCCCCCCCCAGGGCCCGGCCCGGCACGGCACAGCCCGGCUCGGCGCGGCCCGGCGGGACGGCGGCUGCGAUCCGCCGCGGCCGGCGAUGGGAGAUGGAGGGAGCCGGCGGUGCGGCAGAAGCACUUGUGCUGGAUAAUGACAUAUCAGCUCAUGCCCAGAAUGUUGCCAAGGCCAAAUAUGAAUUUUUAUUUGGCUUGGAAGAAGAGAAACCUUCAGGAAUGGCAGGGACUUGUGCUGGAGACACAUUGGUGGAGGGAAUCCCUGCACUUCUCUAGAGUGGAGUUGUUCAGCCACGAGUUCUGCAAUUGCACAUGCUGAAACAUGGCCAUUUCUGCCUGGAGCUCCUUCCAGAAAUGUGCUUCGUGGUCUUUCUACAGGUAGAGGUAGUGGCCGUGGAAGCAGCAGUUUGCCUCCUCACACCACCAUCAAUGAAUUUCCAGAGUACGGCAGCGUAGAGUCAAGCAGACAGGCGGCGGGGGCCCCGCCCGUGACGCGCAGCCCCGAAGGACGGGACGGCCACCACCGCGCCCGGCCCGGGCCUCCGCGCGCGGCCCCUGCCCCCCCCCCCCCCCCCCCCCCCCCCCCCCCCCCCCCCCCCCCCCCCCCCCCCCCCCCCCCCCCCCCCCCCCCCCCCCCCCCCCCCCCCCCCCCCCCCCCCCCCCCCCCCCCCCCCCCCCCCCCCCCCCCCC
This 748-nucleotide long non-coding RNA is filed under the name Ficedula albicollis (Collared flycatcher). RNAcentral's name for it is "lncRNA (ENSFALG00000024387.1)". Lineage: Eukaryota; Metazoa; Chordata; Aves; Passeriformes; Muscicapidae. The record is from RNAcentral.